CACAGAGAGAUAUAGACAGUAUAUUUACAGGAGCGUCAGAUUUAUGCGGGAAGGAGGAGAGGUAGAGCUAAAAGACAAUAUCAUAGGCGGGAAAGGGAUAAAAUAAAAUAAUGAAGAAGAUUAAACAAGAAGGUGAAAUUUUCAUCUUGUACAGCGAAUGCUUGUCGUCAUGAAUGACGAAAACCUUGAUAAAGAGAAUGGGACGCAAGAAGUAAGACAGUCAAUAUAAGUUUUAUCUUACCUGGGUACGUUGGCGAGAAGUACGAUUGUUCCAGAGUCCACCCAGUCCACCUCCUCCUGCCCAGCCACCGUCAGUCGGGGUACAUGGCUCACUCCGCUGAGAAUGGACCUGAAGUGAAGCUCUACGGCGAUCGGAGGGCAUGUUCGGCGGCGUAUCCAGGGCGGCUGGUACCGGUAAUAAUGA
Long non-coding RNA from Octopus sinensis (East Asian common octopus), 424 nucleotides. RefSeq lists it as uncharacterized. The record is from RefSeq and is a predicted model, not a curated record. NCBI's taxonomy places the organism in Eukaryota, Metazoa, Mollusca, Cephalopoda, Octopoda, Octopodidae. The transcript has 2 exons.